Molecule: ribosomal RNA, 478 nt
Filed under: uncultured organism
Description: partial 16S ribosomal RNA
Rfam family: Bacterial small subunit ribosomal RNA
Source: RNAcentral
UACACUCCUACGGGAGGCAGCAGUGGGGAAUAUUGCACAAUGGGCGCAAGCCUGAUGCAGCCAUGCCGCGUGUGUGAAGAAGGCCUUCGGGUUGUAAAGCACUUUCAGCGGGGAGGAAGGCGAUACGGUUAAUAACCGUGUUGAUUGACGUUACCCGCAGAAGAAGCACCGGCUAACUCCGUGCCAGCAGCCGCGGUAAUACGGAGGGUGCAAGCGUUAAUCGGAAUUACUGGGCGUAAAGCGCACGCAGGCGGUCUGUCAAGUCGGAUGUGAAAUCCCCGGGCUCAACCUGGGAACUGCAUUCGAAACUGGCAGGCUUGAGUCUUGUAGAGGGGGGUAGAAUUCCAGGUGUAGCGGUGAAAUGCGUAGAGAUCUGGAGGAAUACCGGUGGCGAAGGCGGCCCCCUGGACAAAGACUGACGCUCAGGUGCGAAAGCGUGGGGAGCAAACAGGAUUAGAAACCCUUGUAGUCCCAUGAU